UUGUUAUCCGACCAGAACUGGAGAAGAAGGUGAUCAAGUUGAUUAAUGAUUACAGACAAGAACAUGCUGAUAAAAGACCGAUAUCUGGCAGACUCACCUUCAAAAAUUUGCUGGAUUUGUAUACAGCCCUGCAGAUGUUCCAGUUUAAGAUCGAACACAUCGAGGAGGCCAUGAAGAGCAGUAUGCUGUAUGGAGGCGAUCUGCACUCAGCGCUCGACUGGCUCUGUCUGAAUCUCAGAGAUGAUGAGCUACCGGAGGGAUUCAGCCAAAAGAUGCAGGAGGAGA
Molecule: long non-coding RNA, 285 nt
Organism: Sinocyclocheilus grahami
Lineage: Eukaryota; Metazoa; Chordata; Actinopteri; Cypriniformes; Cyprinidae
Exons: 3
Source: RefSeq, a predicted model, not a curated record